UAUCAUGAUGAACUAGAGAGAGAGAGACUCAUAAACUCGUGUUAAUAUUAAUCAAGGCAGAGUUUACAAUAUAUAGCAAAGGAAAGACUAGGGUUUCAGCAUAAGAGAUAAGGCAAAGCAUGUGUAGUCAAAGCUAAAGGGAGCGGAUGGUUUGAACUAGCCAAUGGAGUGCUUCACACACUUUCAGCAUAUUCCAAGAU
This 200-nucleotide long non-coding RNA is filed under the name Brassica napus (rape). RNAcentral's name for it is "long non-coding RNA (BNAP_LNC006260)". The record is from RNAcentral. Lineage: Eukaryota; Viridiplantae; Streptophyta; Magnoliopsida; Brassicales; Brassicaceae.